Molecule: long non-coding RNA, 555 nt
Organism: Sycon ciliatum
Lineage: Eukaryota; Metazoa; Porifera; Calcarea; Leucosolenida; Sycettidae
Exons: 4
Source: RefSeq, a predicted model, not a curated record
GUGACGAGAAGACCAGACGUAUCCCUUCGUGACAAGCUGCUACUUGUUCUUUUCAGCUCGAGCCUUUUUUGGGAGCUACUCUGGUACAUCGUCCACACUGCUGCCAAGUCUCGACUUCCCAAAAUGGAUGGAAGUGACGAAUAUGGAGGACGCUAUCCUAGAACCCGUGGACAGAAGAGGAAGAGCGACGACUUGGGUGCGGCAGCGAAGUCUGCCUGCCCAACGCCAAUUGCUCCUCACCCAAAAACGCACCCCAUUGACGAAGAUCAUCCUUGUAUAGACGAUGAUAAAUACUCUCAUCUGACAAGAACACGUCAUCAGAAGUCACUGCCUGCUGCGAAUAACAGCGCAUCGUGUAUGAGAAUCUCUUCACCAACAAGUAGACACAAAUAUACACCCACACACCUACACACACCCUCGUGUACUUGUACACCACACACGCGCGCGCACGUGCGCAUACAUACAACUAUUCGUCUUUAUCCUUUUGUGUUUGACAUGAUUCCACGGUGCCAUGAAAGUAACAUUGGUGCCAUAAAAGUAACAUCUUUACUUAUA